ACUUUGUUAUGGCAUUCCUCG
Molecule: microRNA, 21 nt
Filed under: Selaginella moellendorffii
Lineage: Eukaryota; Viridiplantae; Streptophyta; Lycopodiopsida; Selaginellales; Selaginellaceae
Description: smo-miR1112-5p
Source: miRBase by way of RNAcentral